This 433-nucleotide ribosomal RNA is filed under the name uncultured bacterium. RNAcentral describes it as "partial 16S ribosomal RNA". It matches the Rfam family "Bacterial small subunit ribosomal RNA", at positions 29 to 507 of the family's 1533-position model. The record is from RNAcentral.
AACGAACGCUGGCGGCAUGCCUAACACAUGCAAGUCGAACGAUCCCUUCGGGGAUAGUGGCGCACGGGUGCGUAACGCGUGGGAACCUGCCCUUAGGUUCGGAAUAACUCAGAGAAAUUUGAGCUAAUACCGGAUAAUGUCUUCGGACCAAAGAUUUAUCGCCUUUGGAUGGGCCCGCGUUGGAUUAGCUAGUUGGUGGGGUAAAGGCCUACCAAGGCGACGAUCCAUAGCUGGUCUGAGAGGAUGAUCAGCCACACUGGGACUGAGACACGGCCCAGACUCCUACGGGAGGCAGCAGUGGGGAAUAUUGGACAAUGGGCGAAAGCCUGAUCCAGCAAUGCCGCGUGAGUGAUGAAGGCCUUAGGGUUGUAAAGCUCUUUUAACCGGGAUGAUAAUGACAGUACCGGGAGAAUAAGCCCCGGCUAACUCCGUG